AUACGGAGGAUCCGAGCGUUAUCCGGAUUUAUUGGGUUUAAAGGGUGCGCAGGCGGCCAUUUAAGUCAGCGGUUAAAUCGUGGGGCUCAACCCCAUUCUGCCGUUGAUACUGGGUGGCUUGAUUGCGGUCGAGGUUGGCGGAAUUCGUUGUGUAGCGGUGAAAUGCAUAGAUAUGACGAAGAACACCGAUUGCGUAGGCAGCUGACCAGACCGCAAAUGACGCUCAUGCACGAAAGUGCGGGGAUCGAACAGGAUUAGAUACCCUGGUAGUCCGCACAGUAAACGAUGAAUACUUGUUUUCGGCGAUAUAAUGUCGGAGGCAAAGCGAAAGCGAUAAGUAUUCCACCUGGGGAGUACGCCGGCAACGGUGAUACUCAAAUGAAUUGACGGGG
Molecule: ribosomal RNA, 392 nt
Filed under: uncultured bacterium
Lineage: Bacteria
Description: partial 16S ribosomal RNA
Rfam family: Bacterial small subunit ribosomal RNA
Source: RNAcentral